AUGAUGCCAGCUCCGCUCUCCAGAGCAACGUCCAGGACAUGUGUCCCCUCUCGUCGGUUCAAGUAUGUUCUACGGCACGCGUGGCGCGUGUUGUACUUCGACGCUCGACUGAAUGUACACAUGGCAGCCUUCGGGGAAAAAAAAGAAGAAAAAACUUUGCAACAACCAUCUCUACAAAAAGGCAAAUUUGGCAAAUUAAGAGAAGAGGAAGGUGGUCCCUGUUUGAAGUUUUUAGCAAAUUCAGCAGGUAUUCAGUGCAGAGUCAAUAGUUCCCAUGCGGCAAGCGACGUGGCCAACUAUAUCUAA
Molecule: ribosomal RNA, 306 nt
Filed under: Triticum aestivum (bread wheat)
Lineage: Eukaryota; Viridiplantae; Streptophyta; Magnoliopsida; Poales; Poaceae
Description: partial small subunit ribosomal RNA
Source: RNAcentral